GGAACGUGCCCAAUCGUGGGGGAUAACGUANACAAAUUUACGCUAAUACCGCAUACGAUCUAAGGAUGAAAGCGGGGGAUCGCAAGACCUCGCGCGAUUGGAGCGGCUGAUAUCAGAUUAGGUUGUUGGUGAGGUAAAAGCUCACCAAGCCGACGAUCUGUAGCUGGUUUGAGAGAACGACCAGCCACACUGGGACUGAGACACGGCCCAAACUCCUACGGGAGGCAGCAGUGGGGAAUUUUGGACAAUGGGCGAAAGCCUGAUCCAGCAAUGCCGCGUGCAGGAAGAAGGCCUUCGGGUUGUAAACUGCUUUUGUACGGAACGAAACGGCUCUUUCUAAUAAAGAGGGCUAAUGACGGUACCGUAAGAAUAAGCACCGGCUAACUACGUGCCAGCAGCCGCGGUAAUACGUAGGGUGCGAGCGUUAAUCGGAAUUACUGGGCGUAAAGCGUGCGCAGGCGGUUAUAUAAGACAGUUGUGAAAUCCCCGGGCUCAACCUGGGAAUUGCAUCUGUGACUGUAUAGCUAGAGUACGGUAGAGGGGGAUGGAAUUCCGCGUGUAGCAGUGAAAUGCGUAGAUAUGCGGAGGAACACCGAUGGCGAAGGCAAUCCCCUGGACCUGUACUGACGCUCAUGCACGAAAGCGUGGGGAGCAAACACGAUUAGAUACCCUGGUAGUCCACGCCCUA
RNAcentral lists this ribosomal RNA (688 nucleotides) under Polaromonas sp. 01xTSA12B_A05. RNAcentral's name for it is "bacterial SSU rRNA". It matches the Rfam family "Bacterial small subunit ribosomal RNA", at positions 121 to 804 of the family's 1533-position model. Lineage: Bacteria; Pseudomonadati; Pseudomonadota; Betaproteobacteria; Burkholderiales; Comamonadaceae. The record is from RNAcentral.